RNAcentral lists this ribosomal RNA (465 nucleotides) under uncultured bacterium. RNAcentral describes it as "partial 16S ribosomal RNA". It matches the Rfam family "Bacterial small subunit ribosomal RNA", at positions 28 to 506 of the family's 1533-position model. The record is from RNAcentral.
GAUGAACGCUGGCGGCGUGCUUAACACAUGCAAGUCGAACGAUGAAGCCCAGCUUGCUGGGUGGAUUAGUGGCGAACGGGUGAGUAACACGUGAGUAACCUGCCCUUAACUCUGGGAUAAGCCUGGGAAACUGGGUCUAAUACCGGAUAGGAGCGUCCACCGCAUGGUGGGUGUUGGAAAGAUUUAUCGGUUUUGGAUGGACUCGCGGCCUAUCAGCUUGUUGGUGAGGUAAUGGCUCACCAAGGCGACGACGGGUAGCCGGCCUGGGAGGGUGACCGGCCACACUGGGACUGAGACACGGCCCAGACUCCUACGGGAGGCAGCAGUGGGGAAUAUUGCACAAUGGGCGCAAGCCUGAUGCAGCGACGCCGCGUGAGGGAUGACGGCCUUCGGGUUGUAAACCUCUUUCAGUAGGGAAGAAGCGAAAGGGACGGUACCUGCAGAAGAAGCACCGGCGAACUACGU